Molecule: ribosomal RNA, 254 nt
Filed under: uncultured bacterium
Lineage: Bacteria
Description: partial 16S ribosomal RNA
Rfam family: Bacterial small subunit ribosomal RNA
Source: RNAcentral
UACGGGGGGAGCAAGCGUUGUUCGGAUUUACUGGGCGUAAAGGGCGCGUAGGCGGCCACGACAAGUCACUUGUGAAAUCUCCGGGCUUAACCCGGAAAGGUCAGCCGAUACUGCAGGGCUAGAGUGCAGAAGGGGCAACUGGAAUUCUCGGUGUAGCGGUGAAAUGCGUAGAUAUCGAGAGGAACACCUGCGGCGAAGGCGGGUUGCUGGGCUGACACUGACGCUGAGGCGCGAAAGCUAGGGGAGCGAACGGG